Molecule: long non-coding RNA, 3426 nt
Filed under: Triticum aestivum (bread wheat)
Lineage: Eukaryota; Viridiplantae; Streptophyta; Magnoliopsida; Poales; Poaceae
Description: long non-coding RNA (TAES_LNC003327)
Source: RNAcentral
AUAAAUCAAACACAAAUAUAUUUAUAUGACCAAUAUAGCAUAUUCAACACAUAUUACCAAUAGUCAUGAACACAUAUGUAUCCAACACAUGUUACCAAUAGUAGCAAGUUUCAUCCAUACAUAUACAUAGUUUCAUCAAUAUUACACAGUUUCAUCUAUAGGUAGCAAGUUUCACAAGGUCAAAACAAAAACUAAAUACAAGCACUCCAUCAACCCAAGCUUCCGUGAUCUUAAGCAAAUCUGUAAAAUGGAAAAGAAGAAAGUUAGAAGAAGAAGACUAGAAGAAGAAGAAGACUAGAAGAAGAAGAUUAUUAUGAUGCAACUAAAAUGUGAAGAUUAUUAUGAUGCAACUAAAAUGUGAAGAUUAUUAUGAUGCAACUUAUAUCUGUAAAAUAGGUCAUUUUGGAGCUAAGUAUGGUUAUUAUGUCAUUUUUGAGCUAGCUAAGCAUACUAAGUCAUUUUGGUGUAAAACAUGCUAAGGUCAUUCUAGAGCUAAGUAAGUUUAUUAUGUCAUUUUGGAGCUAGCUAAGCAUGUGAAGUCAUUUAGGUUAUUUUGGAGCUAAUUAAGCUUAUUAUGUAAUUUUUUAGCUAGCUAAGCAUAUUAAGUCAUUUUGGAGGAAAAAUGCUAAGUAUAGGUCAUUUUAGAGCUAGCCUAGGUUGAAUAGGUCAUUUUGAAGCUAAGUAAGGUUAUUAUUUCAUUUUGGAGCUAGCUAAGCAUAUGAAGUCAUUUAGGAGCUAAAAUAUGUCAUUUCUUAAGCAUACUAUAUCAUUUUAGAGCUAGCUAAGCAUAUUAAGUCAUUUUGGAGGAAAAGAUGCUAAGUAUAGGUCAUUUUAGAGCUAUCCUAGGUUAAAUAGGUCAUUUUUAAGCUAGCUAAGCAUAUUAAGUCAUUUUGGAGGAAAAAUGCUAAGUAUAGGUCAUUUUAGAGCUAUCCUAGGUUAAAUGCUAGGUUGUAUUUCUUUACAGAGGGGGUACUAGUCAAAGUCAACCAAUUUCGUCAUGUCAUGGUGAGCUGCACCGUGAGCAGUACAUGGCUCUACCUAUCAAAACAAGAAAACAUACUUCUUGGACCCUGAAAACAACGGACAACGGUUCUUCCACUUGAAAUCAACACCAUGGCUCACAGGCAGAAUACUGGCAGUAAUAAUCAAAUAAACUAUACAAGGAGUUGUUUCGAUUCCACAACAAGGAUCAAAACAUGCACAACCAUGUCUUAUGUUGCAACUGAACAACACAUACUACAGCCAUCAAAACCAGCAGAUUGACAGGUUAGAGUCAAUCCCACCAUCUCAUUUACUCCUCCCUUCCCUUGAGAAAAACAAAAUUCUUUACAAAUAUAAUAGCCAACACAUGGAAUAUAUUUGUUGUGCUCUAAGCAUCUCAACUCAGCGCCAGUAGUGAUGGCACAACACACAUACCUUGGUUUUUACAUGCUCUUUCUCCUUGACAUCCUUAUUAUACUUGUCUUUGUGGAAGUCCAUGAUCUUGCAAGUAGGAUGGUCCUAUUUCCGAUGGACCUGCAUGGGCGGCGACAAGAUAACCAUGAGAAAUGGAAAUGCUGACAGUCGCGCACAAACAAUCGAAAAAGAAUCUCAAGAAAAUGCUAAAACUUGGGAUCAAACAAUUGAAGAAGGAAAUGCAGCACUACCUCAACCAGGUGCAAGCCCAUCCUGGAUACAACUUUAUGCCCUCGGUACAACAUUAUGAUCUGCAAAGUUGAAACAUGAUAUGUGAAAGCCUAUGAUCUUGCAAAUCAACAAUAUAACAUGUUUGUUAACGCACAACAAGGAAGCUUCAGUUCAAAAUUAUAUGAUGUCGCACACUUUCAAACGUGGCUCUGUUCUAAGCAUUCCAACUCAGCUUCAGUUGUGGUGUGACGACAAAUUUACCCAAGCAGGAUGAUUUUAUCACAUACCUUGUUAUUUUAGGCGAUCUUUCUCCAUGGCAUCCUUGGUAUACUUGUCUUUGUGAAAGCCUAUGAUCUUGGAAACAGGAGGGCCUGAUUUCCCAAGGACCUGCACAUGCGGUAACGAGAAAACCAUGAAAACAGAAAUUCCGACAGUUGCGCACAAGCAAUUGAAAAAGAAUCUCAAGAAAAUGGCAACACUUGGGCACAAACAAUUGAAGAAGAAGGAAAUGCAGUGGUACCUCAACUAGGUUCAAUCCCAUCCUAGGAGCCAUUCAAAGACAUCCUGGGCACUACAUCAUGCCCUGCAAAAAAUAAGAAGCAUGCCAUGUUCAGCAUCUGAAUGUUGAACCAAGCAGGUUCAGGUUUGUGCAAUCCCGUGUCAAACUCCCUAGUAGAUGCAUUGAUAGUUGUACAUUUGAUAUAUGGUUAAUUUAAAGCGAUCGCCAUCACCAAAAAAACAAAUAUUUUAGGUGAGUUAAACAGUGCAAAUCACAGUGGACACAUGAAUCAUGCAGAUGUGAUCCUACCACUUCACUUGUCCAAACUUAAGAUGAUGACUACACACAAACACACACACGCACACACAUAUGCUUGGUUGUUGCCAAGUAACCAAGCAAGUUUAGGUUUUAUUUUUUUUUUGAUAAAUCUCCUCCUAAAAGAAAACAGCAUGCCAACUAAUUUACUUGGUACAUGCAAUGCUUGAAUACAAAUAGCCCUCCGGUGAAACUAAAUGAGGGAGAGGAAAAUUGGGUGGUUUGAGUCGCAAACUACACAACCUUAGGAACCAUGAGCUGCACAUCAUUUAGCAAAUGAGUUGAGGCUAGUGCACUGUGCCAUGGAUUGCAAUUUGCAGAAAUUGGACUAGAGCAGAGGAGUGGUAAGAAGUAGAGAAGAGUAGGGGGCAGUUACCUUGUGCGGUGCCCCGUCGUGGUCGAGCUCAAUGUACCGGUCCUCAUCCUCCCCUACAUCAUGGUCAUCCCCGUCCAUAGAGGGUGCCUUCCUGCUGCAAGGAAUUGAAGAACGCAAAUCAGUCACACUAGAGCGAGAGAGGACACAUACACACAAGCAUAAAAGCAGUGAAUAGCCAGUUGUUCUCUGGAUCGAUGGCCAUGAAACAGAGCAGAGAGCAGCAUGGUGUGGUAGAGAAAGGAGAGGAGAUGCGGUAUGUAGCUCACUGUGGCGGUUUGCGCAGUCAAUGCCGAAUAAUAGCGCGUCCCCCCUCCGUGGGUUGCGACCUUGACUGGCAGGCAUGAUCAAGUGAGGCCCUUGUCCUCUGCUGUAGGGAUGAAAUCUUUCCUGCUGCACAAUAAGAGGAUUAAUCUUGAGUUCAAAUCAUAAAACAAACAAAUCUUGCCGCCUCCACGCAGGGGAGGGGCCGAGGUUGAGACGGGAAAAUCUUGCCUGCUCUCAUAUGAAAUGAGAAGAAGGGGAGCCUUGGCGCAGUGGUAAAGCUGCUGCCUUGUGACCAUGAGGUCAUGGGUUCAAGUCCUGGAAACAGCCUCUUACAGAAAUGUAGGGA